GUUUUUCAUAUCCCACGUCUAAAGUCUGAGCCGUGGGCCCCCUAAAGAGGAACCAGGUGCACCCCCAGGCAGUGUGCUGUCAGGACAGUCGAGGGUUCAAACAUCUAAAAUUAAAAUGCCUAGGACUCACACGUCAAUGCAGCAGAAUUUCCAGGCGACUUCGGAGGCUGCCGGGGACCGAGCACCUCUUAGGCACAGCUGUGCACAUCACUCCGCCACCAUCUGACCUACGGGAAAUGAAAUCUGAGCUCUGGAAUCUGAUCGGCCCCACGCACGCUCUUUCCCGGAGAAGCCUCCAAGACAGGCACAUCAUUCUCCACUGCGAGAUUAUUUAGGGCGAUGUCCGGGAUGGGUCAGGGAGACAGAUGACAGCCCGAGGGGCGAUGGGGAAACUUUACUGUAGACGCUAAAGCAACAACUGUCUGGGCCUCGAAGAAGGGGCGGGAGGUGGGGGAGUGCAGAGAUUAUCCCUCAGAAACCCGACACUCGCAGGGCCCCUGGCUUUUUCUAAAUCAGUGGGUGCUGGAGCAAGAGUGUGGGGAAACUUUUCCCAGUACAGGAUUCAUAUUCCUGAAACUUAGGCGUGAGCUGAGUUCAGCUCUCCUUCCACUUCAGGAUUUUAACCCCCUAAAUUUUUGGCUUUAACCACCAAGAAUAAUUUCUUAGAAUCAAAUCAGUAAAGGGCAUUUCCAUUAAAUAUUACUGGGCAGGAGAGAUUCGGUUUCGCCAGCUCAUCGUAUC
This 741-nucleotide long non-coding RNA is filed under the name Chinchilla lanigera (long-tailed chinchilla). RNAcentral describes it as "lncRNA (ENSCLAG00000022444.1)". Lineage: Eukaryota; Metazoa; Chordata; Mammalia; Rodentia; Chinchillidae. The record is from RNAcentral.